UUUUUAAAUCCGACAUUUUUUCAGAUUUCUAAAUUUCUUUCACAGUUCUGUCUUUUAAAGGUUUAUAAAACUUUUUUUUGUAUUGACUUUUUCUGGGAUUCUUUUGACUUUAAUGCCAAUUUUAGACUUUUUUAUAAUUCAAUUUUUUUUAAAGACCUCAAUUUUUUUUAAAAGUUUGACUCUAACCUUCUAACCUAGAAAUCCACAAAUGUACGGAAGUCCUGCAGGAAUUAUUUCAACAUUGAUUCAACAGUCCUACAGACACUGUUUUGCAAAAGCAGUGAUUUCAAGGCUCCGUCUGUCGCCUCCACCUUUUGCAAUAUAUAAGCGAAAAGUCCACGUCUUUUCCGCUCCGAGGUGUCUCUCUUUUAACUGUCUCUCCGAUCAAAGUCAAGGUUUAUGUUACGUUUACAAUAAGCUACAAAUGUGAACUUGAUGCUAAGCUGUGCUGCUGCAGCGAAGCACAAACUACAACACUCAGAAGCAGAUCAUGCAACUUCUUACAACAGAUAACUACUUACCCAGGGACACAUCUGUAAGUCAGCAUCCUUUCCUCACAUCUUCUCCCGUCCUUCCAACACCUCAAUUUACAAUCCAAUAUUUAUUUCACUCUGUCCUCUUAGUAUGCACCUACUUCCCUUUCCUCACAGGAACCUACCCCAGCUCAUUCUAGCAAUCUUUUGUGGACAUGGUCGACAAUCCCUGCAGGAAUAUGUCCACAUGUGGAAUGUAAAAUACUGAAAUUGUACGAUUAAAGACACUGUGUGAAGAUCCACACUCAUGUUGUUUUUGAUGUUGUUGAUGUUGCUUUCGUUGUGCACCAAGUGUUCGUUGUUGCGCUUAAAUCUAAGGUUGAAAGCAAGCGGGGUAAAACCUCCAUCGUGUGAAAGAGUGCUACUGAAAUGUCCUUUUUAUUCUUUGAUAUGGUGUGUUUAUAAAUGACCUGUGGUGUGAGGAAUUGAAAACCUCUGAAGCAAGAGAUGAAGUGACUUUGUUUUGGAUUGAGAAAAAAAAUCUUUUUUUAUGAUUAUUCUUUUAAUGUCGUUAUCAAUUUGCAUCUGAGUUUCUUGGUAAGUGAAUGUCUGUCUAUCUGUGUUGAUGCUUUACUGUGAUAAAAUGGCUGUAUAUGCACUUUCAGACCAUCAUUGGUGCAGUAUCUAGUGCUCAUACGUCACCUUAGGGCCAGGGUUCACAUCACCUUCAGUUCAGCUGAAAAUACAUCUGCAUGAAAAACAGCCUGCUAUUCAAUUUCUGGGACAUGUGAUCGGAUUUAGCAUUUAAAAAAGUGUUAGUUGCCUUAUUCUGUUUUUAUAAUCUGUGAUGAAAUGUGUUAAACAUCUGUAAUAACAUUAUGAAAUUCAUUUAAAGGAGUAGGCCCAUUGGUUCAGUACUAUAUCUGAUGAGAGUUUUAGCAUCAGAGCUAGCUUUGUGCAUUAUGGUUUGGACCCAUACUGUUGAAUUUUCAGAAAAACACAUUUUCAAGUUUUUUAGCUAACAUUUAGGUUUUCCCGCCUUUUUUGUUAGCUUCCACCACGGCUAAAUAUGCUAGCCUGAACAGUGUAAACAUCUUUUUUUUAGACCGUAAUAUGAUCUUAACGGCUCAAAUGUCAUUAAAGAUCUCCAAGAUACAAGAUUUUUCUUAAAUCUACCUCAUAUUAGCUAUUAGAUGAUCAGCAGCUAACGGUUAUCUCGCUAACUAGCCACUAAUAUUCCUUAUAAACGUGUUAUAGCUAAACAGAAUAAAAUGAACACACUUAAAGCCAAGCAUUCUGAAGGUGAAUGUAUUUGGGACAAUGAUUAGCUGCAGGCAAUCACACAACACUUGUCUUGAAUCUAGCUCAAAUCAGCUAUUAGAAGGAGCCGCAGCUAACGGCUAACUCGCUAACUAGCUGCUAAUAUUCCUUAAAAAUGUGUAAUAUGUAAACAGAACAAAUUACACUUAAUGUAACAUCAGAUUCAGUGUGCAUUACUUUUGGAUUAUGAUUAGCUGUAGCUAAAUUAGGAUCUGUACUCGUACGUACAAGCAAUUAGCAUUUCAACAAACAAGAUUUCUCCAAAAAGUCAUCUUGUUGAAGGUUUUAUUCAUCUAAAGCACAAUUUGUUCACUCUCUUAGACUAAUGCUAGUCACAUAUAUGUCUAAAUAUUGAUUCCCAAACCCUUAUAGCAUGCACACCGCUCUAAUACCUGCCUGUUAUUACUCUCAUAUCAGUGAAUCAAUGGGCCAACUAUUGCAAACCUGACAGAACAAAACAAUUUCAAUUAAUGCUUUUUUACAAUUAAUACAUUUUCUUGGGGACUGUAUGAACAUAUUGGUAUAGGUUAUGCUCCAUGUCCUGCAGACGUUACACAACAACAUAUUUUGUUGAACUAAAUACUUUGACAAUUAAUACCUUUGUUAGGGUUAGGGUUAGACACAUUAUUGACAUUUGGAGGGGAGUUGAACCUUGUGUUUUACUUAAAGAAAAACUAAGAAAGCAUCAAAAUAGUUAUUGUACCUUAACCCAAAGAUCUCAAAAGCAUUACCAAUUUCAAAUGUGAAAGAAAACUUGGACUACCAGCAAAAAAAAGGAAGAUUACGUAACGCUUCCUCGUUUCUGACCACCACAAAUCACUUUCAUACAGUCCCUCACCGCUUGUUAUGGAUGAAUACAGUAUUUUUGUACUUCUACUAUCAUUAAUAGUUUAUUAUUUUGGGGAAAGUGUUUUGUAAGUUUGUUGUAAAUGAAAUUUUUGCCAAAUCUAAUAUUAUAAUUAGUUGAACUGAGAGUGAAUGAACCUGAAUCCUGCUUUCCAACGUUGCUUGGGCUGUAUCACUAUUUGCUCUCACUCUUCUGAUCUGUGUCAAAAAAACACAAAAAACAACAAAAACAACAUAAAAUACGUCCUUUUUAGCCUUUAGAUUGCUCACAAAUCUGACUUUAGACCAGGGCUCAUCUUGCAAUGUACAAAUCUGCCGUGUAUUAAUCUCAAUGUCGUGAUAAGAAUAUUGCUUGGGGAUAAAAAAAGAGUUAAGUAACGUAAAGAAAAUCACAAAAUACAAACCAAAAAAAUAGAUUUAUACAACAAUUCAUACCUCAUUGUACUGCUUUGUGCCAGAUUAAAGGAGGGGGAGCGAUCAGCCUCAAGCAAAGAAUCAACAGUGGUUGGAAAAAAAAGGAAGCGGACCCAACAGGGGUCUCGGGAACAUAAAAACCUGGCCCCAAAUUAGUUUGACUAAAAUGGGGUAUAUUUGUCAGGAUGAUUGGAAAUGAAAAUGUGUUAUAGGAGGAGGUGAACCUGUGGGAAAAGAAAUGCUUAAUGAUAUGUUGUAGACAUUCUCUUUUGAAAAUGACUGCACUUACUUUGUUAUGUCUAUAAGAAAUUGAUAGCAUGAAAUAUGAAGCCAUGCGUUGCGUACUUAUCAAAAAGCUCUGCCUGUUCUGCCCUGACAAACCAAGAGAGGACGCUUCACAAGACUUAGGGUGCAUCGAGUAAUUUGGACAUUUUUAGGUGACCGUUUUAAACAAUAGAGCGGUGCAGGAAUGAGUCCUGAAACCGGGGGAUGGGUUAGCAUUUUAGCACUGUCCCCUGGUCUGGAGGUCAAUGGUCUUCUGAUUGUGAUUUUGGUUGUUAGCCUGAAAAAAGUUCUCUGGUUAACACAAGUUGAAAACAAACGCUUUGUUCUACGACAUGUCAGUGAAAACAUAUUUAACAUUGGCAAAAGAAAGUUGGCCAUUUCGCCUUUAGCUUAGCAAAGCAGUUCCUUUAUAGCCUGGCUUUAGCUCUAGAGCCUAAAAGUGGUGUUUUCUGCUAUAUUUAAAAAAUCCAAUGGGAAAAUCCAAUUGCUUUUAGUCCAUAGGGGGCGCUCUUGCAAUGCUGACUUUAAAAAUAGUUCAUUCCUGUAUCACUCUAUUGCAAAGAAAAUAAAAAAAAAGUGUUCUCUCCCCUCAAAGAGCUUUGAAGACAGGUGUGAUCUUCUUCGAAUCUGAAGUGCAAAUAUGCAACGACACAGACAUAGAUUGUGCCUUGUACGAGAUUUAGGUUUAGUUCCCAAACAGUUUCCCCCGUGAUGAACAUGUCCUCUCUUGUGCUCUUCUUCACAGUGACUUUAUGCAGCGGCACUUAGACCCUAAUUAUCUGAGAGAAUGGCAGCAGCCAUCGUCGAAUGGCACGGCACAGUGUUGAAUGUAAAUCUGAAUGAGGUGGAAGCACGGGGUGUUUUAUAAAGCUGGUCGUGGGUUUGUAAUGGGCACGGUCGGUGUUUGUCUUGUUUCCUGUGACAAAUCAUUCAUGGCCCAAUCUCAAAGGCUCAAAGCUGUUUGUGUUUGUGACAUUCAUUUAAAACAUUAUACAAUUAUUUGAUAUCAAA
Notothenia coriiceps (black rockcod) is the source of this 4349-nucleotide long non-coding RNA. RefSeq lists it as uncharacterized. The record is from RefSeq and is a predicted model, not a curated record. The transcript is spliced from 2 exons. NCBI's taxonomy places the organism in Eukaryota, Metazoa, Chordata, Actinopteri, Perciformes, Nototheniidae.